Molecule: ribosomal RNA, 460 nt
Filed under: Lebertia schechteli
Lineage: Eukaryota; Metazoa; Arthropoda; Arachnida; Trombidiformes; Lebertiidae
Description: partial small subunit ribosomal RNA
Source: RNAcentral
GUAUGUACAUCCAAUAUAACUAAUUCAAAAAAAAUUCUAAAUAUUAAUUACAAACAAAUCCUAAGAAAAAAUAAAAUAAAUAAAAAAUUCUAAAAGUGGCUAACUUUUUCUAAAAUAUAAAUUGCACCUUGACUUGAAUUUAAUAAAAGAAUUAAAAAGAUAAAAUAAUAAAAAAUCAUCAAAACAGAGGUAUACAAAUUAAUAAGAAAAGAAAAAUUAAACGAGGAUUAUCGAUUACAAAGCAAGCCCCUUUAAAAAGUAAUUGAACCGCCAAAAAUCUUGGGUUUAAAGAAAAACUUUUAAUACCCUAAAAAAUUAUAAAAGGGUAUCUAAUCCUUGUUUCAAAAAAACUCAAGAAAGAAAACAUAAAAAUAAGAAACAAAAUAAAAUUUCACCUUUAAUUUAAAAUUUUAAUAAAAUAAAUCAUUUUCUAAAACAUAUCUAUAAUUCUAAUCGUAUA